This 779-nucleotide long non-coding RNA is filed under the name Triticum aestivum (bread wheat). RNAcentral describes it as "long non-coding RNA (TAES_LNC013110)". Lineage: Eukaryota; Viridiplantae; Streptophyta; Magnoliopsida; Poales; Poaceae. The record is from RNAcentral.
ACCUUGUUCUCAUGACUUGUAUCUGCCAAAUCUUUGUAUUCUUGCUGCUGAGUAUAAUGUGCAAUUUUAGGUACCUGAGAAUGCAAAUUAACUAAAUGUUUCAGAACUGACUGUUUCAGAAUAGUUAGCCUCUCUGUUUUUGUUUCAUGAUGCAUAUAUAAAUUUAAUAGGAAUUUUUAUGCUUUUUACCUUGUUCUCAUGACUUCUAUCUGCCAAAUCUUUGUAUUCUUGCUGCUGAGAAUAAUGUGCAAUUUUAGGUACCUGAGAAUGCAAAUUAACUAAAUGUUUCAGAACUGAUUGUUUCAGAAUAGUUAGCCUCUCUGUUUUUGUUUCAUGAUGCAUCUGAUUUUUCUUUUGCUUACAGGAAAUCAUCUAUGGCUAUCUAUGAUGUCUGCAUAUUUGGACAGGUGCUUCCAGAACUGGCAUCAUACACCAAUUCUAGCAUACGAAAUGGAGGUGGUGCAGCAGAUAGUCACAUACCUUUGACUAGCCAAAAGCACUUUUAUCACCAGGUUUCUUUCUUCAUUUUGUUCUUCCUGCUGAUAGAUCUGAGAUCUGGGUUUCAAUUUGAGGAUCAUCCAUUUUUUGCUAACAGAUCUGUGAUCUCUCUAUGGAAGAGAGAGAACUAAACCCUGGGGAUUGGAGGAGAAGUACGCACUGAGAGAGAAUCGUCAGCACAAAUUGAUCAGAAUUAUCAUAAGACAGGAGGAGAUCUGAGGUCUAUUUCCCCUUACCAUGGUGGCGGCUGGAUGGGAGACGAGGAAGAAAGCAGAGUCACA